Molecule: transfer RNA, 72 nt
Filed under: Cavia porcellus (domestic guinea pig)
Lineage: Eukaryota; Metazoa; Chordata; Mammalia; Rodentia; Caviidae
Rfam family: tRNA
About the family: Transfer RNA (tRNA) molecules are approximately 80 nucleotides in length. Their secondary structure includes four short double-helical elements and three loops (D, anti-codon, and T loops).
Source: Rfam by way of RNAcentral
GGGGAUGUGGCUCAGUGGCACAGCUCUUGCCUUGCAUGCACAAAGCCCUGGGUUUGAUCCCCAGCACAACCA